Molecule: ribosomal RNA, 380 nt
Filed under: uncultured eukaryote
Lineage: Eukaryota
Description: partial 18S ribosomal RNA
Rfam family: Eukaryotic small subunit ribosomal RNA
Source: RNAcentral
CAAUAGCGUAUAUUAAAGUUGUUGCGGUUAAAAAGCUCGUAGUUGGAUUUCUGCCGAGGACGACCGGUCCGCCCUCUGGGUGUGUAUCUGGUUUGGCCUGGGCAUCUUCUUGGAGAACGUAGCUGCACUUGACUGUGUGGUGCGGUGUCCAGGACUUUUACUUUGAGGAAAUUAGAGUGUUUCAAGCAGGCACACGCCUUGAAUACAUUAGCAUGGAAUAAUAAGAUAGGACCUCGGUUCUAUUUUGUUGGUUUCUAGAGCUGAGGUAAUGAUUAAUAGGGAUAGUUGGGGGCAUUCGUAUUUAACGGUCAGAGGUGAAAUUCUUGGAUUUGUUAAAGACGGACUACUGCGAAAGCAUUUGCCAAGGAUGUUUUCAUUGA